GAGUUUGAUCCUGGCUCAGGACGAACGCUGGCGGCGUGCCUAACACAUGCAAGUCGAACGAAGCAAUAAAGACGGAGAUUCGUCAAAGCCUUUAUUGACUUAGUGGCGGACGGGUGAGUAACGCGUGAGCAACCUGCCUUUCAGAGGGGGACAACAGUUGGAAACGACUGCUAAUACCGCAUAAUAUACAGAGGGGGCAUCCCAUUUGUAUCAAAGGAGAAAUCCGCUGAAAGAUGGGCUCACGUCUGAUUAGCUAGUUGGUGGGGUAAAGGCCUACCAAGGCUGCGAUCAGUAGCCGGACUGAGAGGUUGAACGGCCACAUUGGGACUGAGAUACGGCCCAGACUCCUACGGGAGGCAGCAGUGGGGAAUAUUGGGCAAUGGGCGAAAGCCUGACCCAGCAACGCCGCGUGAAGGAAGAAGGUCCUCGGAUUGUAAACUUCUUUUAUGAGGGACGAAGGAAGUGACGGUACCUCAUGAAUAAGCCACGGCUAACUACGUGCCAGCAGCCGCGGUAAUACGUAGGUGGCAAGCGUUAUCCGGAUUUACUGGGUGUAAAGGGCGCGUAGGCGGGGAUGCAAGUCAGAUGUGAAAUCUAUGGGCUUAACCCAUAAACUGCAUUUGAAACUGUAUCUCUUGAGUGUCGGAGAGGUAGAUGGAAUUCCUUGUGUAGCGGUGAAAUGCGUAGA
This 688-nucleotide ribosomal RNA is filed under the name uncultured bacterium. RNAcentral describes it as "bacterial SSU rRNA". It matches the Rfam family "Bacterial small subunit ribosomal RNA", at positions 9 to 694 of the family's 1533-position model. The record is from RNAcentral.